RNAcentral lists this long non-coding RNA (312 nucleotides) under Parus major (Great Tit). Its description in RNAcentral is "lncRNA (ENSPMJG00000012660.1)". Lineage: Eukaryota; Metazoa; Chordata; Aves; Passeriformes; Paridae. The record is from RNAcentral.
GCGUAGGCGGUACUGUUAGCGAGCCUGCGGUGCGCAGCCCUCCCGCUGCCGCCGCCCCGGGCAGCCCGCGCCGGGCAGUCGCGACCGAGCGGCGAGUCGCAAUUGGCGUCUGUGGCUUAGGCGAGAGCAGAGCGUAUCGCGUGUGCAGUGGCAAAUGAACCAAAGUAAGAGGUUGCCAUCUCCACAGUGAUAUUGCAUCUAAACCCUGGCUACCAAAUCAAGCUUGCUGGUAUAGUGCUGAAUUUUGCCUCUGGUGAGCGUGAUCAGCCUGAGAGAAGUGGAAUCUUUUGGGAAAGGUGGGGAGCUCUCUGU